UAUAAAUAUAAUAUUGCAUAUUAUUUAUAUUAUUUGUAUAUUAUUUAUAUAUUAUUUAAGUAUUUAUCAGCUAACUUAUAUCCAAGUUCUGGUCGGCGAUCUUUUCCUUCAACCAUUGCUUUUACUUGACUUGAAUUUACAAUUACUCCAUUAUUAGCUAUAACAGUAGCUUUAGUUUUUUCAAUAUCAACAAGAUCUACUCCUCGACUACAAUCAUCAAUGAGAAUAGUCCGAUAACCGCUUAUCUUUAUGAAGUUCAGCACCCCAAGAAUCUUGAAUACAAUGACGAGGCCAUAGACGUUGUUUUAAUAAUGGUGGACCUCUAAAUGUUAUAGUAUCAUAAACUUGUGCUGUUUCUUUUGAGGUUCCACUACUGGGAUCAAUUUCUCUGUAAAAAAAUAAUAAAUUUAUAAAUUAUAUUAUAAAAA
Long non-coding RNA from Apis laboriosa (Himalayan honeybee), 428 nucleotides. RefSeq lists it as uncharacterized. Lineage: Eukaryota; Metazoa; Arthropoda; Insecta; Hymenoptera; Apidae. The transcript has 3 exons. The record is from RefSeq and is a predicted model, not a curated record.